GACGAACGCUGGCGGCGUGCCUAAUACAUGCAAGUCGAGCGAGCGGAACUAACAGAUUUACCUCGGUAAUGACGUUAGGAAAGCGAGCGGCGGAUGGGUGAGUAACACGUGGGGAACCUGCCCCAUAGUCUGGGAUACCACUUGGAAACAGGUGCUAAUACCGGAUAAGAAAGCAGAUCGCAUGAUCAGCUUUUACAAGGCGGCGUAAGCUGUCGCUAUGGGAUGGCCCCGCGGUGCAUUAGCUAGUUGGUAAGGUAAAGGCUUACCAAGGCGAUGAUGCAUAGCCGAGUUGAGAGACUGAUCGGCCACAUUGGGACUGAGACACGGCCCAAACUCCUACGGGAGGCAGCAGUAGGGAAUCUUCCACAAUGGACGCAAGUCUGAUGGAGCAACGCCGCGUGAGUGAAGAAGGUUUUCGGAUCGUAAAGCUCUGUUGUUGGUGAAGAAGGAUAGAGGUAGUAACUGGCCUUUAUUUGACGGUAAUCAACCAGAAAGUCACGGCUAACUACGUG
Molecule: ribosomal RNA, 512 nt
Filed under: uncultured bacterium
Lineage: Bacteria
Description: partial 16S ribosomal RNA
Rfam family: Bacterial small subunit ribosomal RNA
Source: RNAcentral